This is a long non-coding RNA of Magnolia sinica, 207 nucleotides long. RefSeq lists it as uncharacterized. The record is from RefSeq and is a predicted model, not a curated record. The transcript is spliced from 3 exons. NCBI's taxonomy places the organism in Eukaryota, Viridiplantae, Streptophyta, Magnoliopsida, Magnoliales, Magnoliaceae.
CACCUACAGAGGAUAAAGCUACAAAAGAGAAAGGAGUACCAGAUUUUUGGCUCACUGCAAUAAAAAUCAAUGAAGUGGUUGGUGAGGAGAUUUCUGAGCGCGAUGAAGGGGCUCUCAAGUAUCUCAAAGAUAUCAAGUGGUUCAGAAUUAAUGAUCCUAAAGGCUUCAAGCUCGAAUUCUUCUUUGAUCCUAACCCAUGAUUGACGA